GCCACUGAUUGGUCAGAGAAUGUCGUCACUGGAUGAGUCAUGAGCUCGUCGUCCGAGAUGAGAAUCAAACCCGUCAUUUUUAAAGUCAUAGCGGUGUCACAGAAACCGGGUUUUUCUUUCGUUUCAUGGUGAGGUUUGUUAUUUUUUUUACUCGCACUGGCUGAGUUGCGGAUGUUUGUGUUUGGUGGCGGAGGAGAGAAUACAGAGAGGCAAGAGUAAAAGGAGCCUGUUCCAGCAGGAGAAUCUGUCCAUCCAGCGAUGUUGAGGUUGAAGCUGAACUGGGUUCAGUGUGAUCGACACAUCCGACUGAUCCUCGAAGAAGCAACGGAGGUGGAAGCUGCAUUAAAUCAGCCAAUCCUUGACGUGCUGAGCGAGCUUAUCCACGCAAUGCAUGACCGGGGCGUGUGUCCUGCACCCCCACCCCAGGAUUAUAGACAUAUGGAACUUUUGUAUAGUUUGUGUUGCACAGGUUUAUGUAUUUAUUUAUUGGGGUAUUUGCAUUUCUUUUAGUUGCAGUAAACAUUUUGACUUGUG
Long non-coding RNA from Thalassophryne amazonica, 534 nucleotides. RefSeq lists it as uncharacterized. NCBI's taxonomy places the organism in Eukaryota, Metazoa, Chordata, Actinopteri, Batrachoidiformes, Batrachoididae. The record is from RefSeq and is a predicted model, not a curated record. The transcript has 2 exons.